This 751-nucleotide ribosomal RNA is filed under the name uncultured Actinomyces sp. RNAcentral's name for it is "bacterial SSU rRNA". It matches the Rfam family "Bacterial small subunit ribosomal RNA", at positions 28 to 776 of the family's 1533-position model. Lineage: Bacteria; Bacillati; Actinomycetota; Actinomycetes; Actinomycetales; Actinomycetaceae. The record is from RNAcentral.
GACGAACGCUGGCGGCGUGCUUAACACAUGCAAGUCGAACGCUGAAGCCUAGCUUGCUGGGUGGAUGAGUGGCGAACGGGUGAGUAACACGUGAGUAACCUGCCCUCUUCUUUGGGAUAACGCCCGGAAACGGGUGCUAAUACUGGAUAUUCACUGAUUCUCGCAUGGGGGUUGGUGGAAAGGUUUUUUCUGGUGGGGGAUGGGCUCGCGGCCUAUCAGCUUGUUGGUGGGGUGAUGGCCUACCAAGGCUUUGACGGGUAGCCGGCCUGAGAGGGUGACCGGUCACAUUGGGACUGAGAUACGGCCCAGACUCCUACGGGAGGCAGCAGUGGGGAAUAUUGCACAAUGGGCGAAAGCCUGAUGCAGCGACGCCGCGUGAGGGAUGGAGGCCUUCGGGUUGUAAACCUCUUUCGCUCAUGGUCAAGCCGCAACUUAGGGUUGUGGUGAGGAUAGUGGGUAAAGAAGCGCCGGCUAACUACGUGCCAGCAGCCGCGGUAAUACGUAGGGCGCGAGCGUUGUCCGGAAUUAUUGGGCGUAAAGGGCUUGUAGGCGGUUGGUCGCGUCUGCCGUGAAAUCCUCUGGCUUAACUGGGGGCGUGCGGUGGGUACGGGCUGACUUGAGUGCGGUAGGGGAGACUGGAACUCCUGGUGUAGCGGUGGAAUGCGCAGAUAUCAGGAAGAACACCGGUGGCGAAGGCGGGUCUCUGGGCCGUUACUGACGCUGAGGAGCGAAAGCGUGGGGAGCGAACAGG